GUGCUCUCUUUGGCAGCUCAUAUACUACCAUUGGAACAAUACAGAGAAGAUUAACAUGGCCCUUGCACAAGGAUGACGCACAAAUUUGUGAAGCAUUCCAUAUAUUU
This is a small nuclear RNA of Leptonychotes weddellii (Weddell seal), 107 nucleotides long. The record is from RefSeq and is a predicted model, not a curated record. Lineage: Eukaryota; Metazoa; Chordata; Mammalia; Carnivora; Phocidae.